CCUGGGCACGAGUUUUUAUCGUCGUCAAUUUCUCUUGAAGUUCGACGGCGGUCUUCUCAACUUUCUCAGUGGCAUUUUCGGCUUCCUUAGUGGUGUUCUCGACCUCCUUGGCAGCCUUCUCCACCUUCCACACCCUUUCUUUCUCCUCGAUGAGAGCACCCUCAGUCGACUUCAUUUCCUUCUGAUAGUCGGCCUUCAGCUUCUCGAACUCCUCCUUUUCAUUUCUUUGCUGGGCCAC
Molecule: long non-coding RNA, 238 nt
Filed under: Elaeis guineensis (African oil palm)
Lineage: Eukaryota; Viridiplantae; Streptophyta; Magnoliopsida; Arecales; Arecaceae
Description: long non-coding RNA (EGUI_LNC000033)
Source: RNAcentral